AUGAACGCUAGCUACAGGCUUUAACACAUGCAAGUCGCGGGGCAGCAUUUCUUAGCUUGCUAAGGAAGAUGGCGACCGGCGCACGGGUGAGUAACGCGGUAUCCAACCUGCCCAUAUCCCGGGCAUAACCUUGCGAAAGCAAGCCUAAUUCCCGAUGUGUCCCUGUGACGGCAUCAGAUCAGGAUGAAAGAUUUUUCGGAUAUGGAUGGGGAUGCGUCCGAUUAGCUUGUUGGCGGGGUAACGGCCCACCAAGGCAACGAUCAGUAGGGGUUCUGAGAGGAAGGUCCCCCACAUUGGAACUGAGACACGGUCCAAAACUCCUACGGGAGGCAGCAGUGAGGAAUAUUGGUCAAUGGGCGAGAGCCUGAACCAGCCAAGUAGCGUGCAGGAUGACGGCCCUAUGGGUUGUAAACUGCUUUUAUAAGGGAAUAAAGUGGGUCUCGUGAGACUUUUUGCAUGUACCUUAUGAAUAAGGACCGGCUAAUUCCGUG
This 491-nucleotide ribosomal RNA is filed under the name uncultured bacterium. RNAcentral's name for it is "bacterial SSU rRNA". It matches the Rfam family "Bacterial small subunit ribosomal RNA", at positions 29 to 507 of the family's 1533-position model. The record is from RNAcentral.